RNAcentral lists this ribosomal RNA (774 nucleotides) under uncultured Neocallimastigales. Its description in RNAcentral is "partial large subunit ribosomal RNA". It matches the Rfam family "Eukaryotic large subunit ribosomal RNA", at positions 24 to 634 of the family's 3401-position model. The record is from RNAcentral. Lineage: Eukaryota; Fungi; Neocallimastigomycota; Neocallimastigomycetes; Neocallimastigales.
GUAGUCUCGCACAGAUGCAUAUCAAUAAGCGGAGGAAAAGAAACUAACAAGGAUUCCCCUAGUAACGGCGAGUGGAGCGGGAAGAGCUCAAAUUUGAAAUCUUAAAGGGUUUCCCUUUACGAAUUGUAGUUUAAAGAAGUAUUUUCUGUUGAGGUUUUGGUAAAAGUUCUUUGGAAUAGGACAUCAUAGAGGGUGAGAAUCCCGUAUUUGACCUUUACUUUCAACUUUGUGAUACACUUUCAAAGAGUCGGAUUGUUUGGGAAUGCAGUCCAAAAUGGGUGGUAAAUUUCAUCUAAAGCUAAAUAUUGGCGAGAGACCGAUAGCGAACAAGUACCGUGAGGGAAAGAUGAAAAGAACUUUGAAAAGAGAGUUAAACAGUACGUGAAAUUGUCAAAAGGGAAGCGUUUGACACCAGUGUUGUUUUUCUGAAAAUCAAUUAAAGAACUGUUUAUGCUAAGCUGUUUAGACUUUAUCAGCUAUCUGUUUAGUUUUGAGCUUUUCUUUAAUGCACUUUUCAGUUAACAAGUCAACAUCAAUUUCUUUUGCUGUAAAAAAGCUUGAGGAAGGUGGCUUGAGAUUCGUCUUAAGUGUUUAUAGCCUCUUGCCUAUGCAGUCGGAGAGAUUGAGGUCUGCAGCGUAGAUCCUUCGGGGCUAAAUGCAUUUGUGCUAAGUUAUAGCAUUUUAUAGACAACUUGUUGACUAUGAUUUGUCUUGUAGCUUACUCGCUUAUGUUAUUUUACCUACGCUUAGGAUGUUGACAGCAGUAUAGACUGU